This 213-nucleotide long non-coding RNA is filed under the name Theobroma cacao (cacao). RNAcentral describes it as "long non-coding RNA (TCAC_LNC005417)". Lineage: Eukaryota; Viridiplantae; Streptophyta; Magnoliopsida; Malvales; Malvaceae. The record is from RNAcentral.
UAAAUCUUUUUGUUUUACAAACAAAACGUGUUUAAAUAAAAUGAUUUUAUAAAUUGUCUUGAAAUUGAAUGAUGACUUUGAAAAUAGAGUAAUUGGAGACCACUUGAGGUGUUGUAAAUUCAUGGUUUGAAUUGACUGGCUUAUGAUAAUAUUUGCAUGAAUGGCUGAAUUGGUAUUUGUGUUGAAAUAUAUGAACUGUGUAUUUAGCCUUGA